ACUCCUACGGGAGGCAGCAGUGGGGAAUUUUGGACAAUGGGCGCAAGCCUGAUCCAGCAAUGCCGCGUGCAGGAAGAAGGCCUCGGUUGUAACUAGCUUUUGUUCAGGGAAGAAAUACCUUUGGGUCGUAAUACCUCGGAGGGAGUGACGGUACCUGAAGAAUAAGCACCGGCUAACUACGUGCCAGCAGCCGCGGUAAUACGUAGGGGUGCGAGCGUUAAUCGGAAUUACUGGGCGUAAAGCGUGCGCAGGCGGCUUUGCAAGACAGAGGUGAAAUCCCCGGGGCUCAACCUGGGAACUGCCUUUGUGACUGCAAGGCUAGAGUACGGCAGAGGGGGAUGGAAUUCCGCGUGUAGCAGUGAAAUGCGUAGAUAUGCGGAGGAACACCGAUGGCGAAGGCAAUCCCCUGGGCCUGUACUGACGCUCAUGCACGAAAGCGUGGGGAGCAAACAGGAUUAGAUACCCUGGUAGGAUAGCG
This 478-nucleotide ribosomal RNA is filed under the name uncultured bacterium. RNAcentral's name for it is "bacterial SSU rRNA". It matches the Rfam family "Bacterial small subunit ribosomal RNA", at positions 335 to 799 of the family's 1533-position model. The record is from RNAcentral.